This 497-nucleotide ribosomal RNA is filed under the name uncultured bacterium. RNAcentral describes it as "partial 16S ribosomal RNA". It matches the Rfam family "Bacterial small subunit ribosomal RNA", at positions 28 to 507 of the family's 1533-position model. The record is from RNAcentral.
GAUGAACGCUGGCGGCGUGCCUAAUACAUGCAAGUCGAGCGAACAGACGAGGAGCUUGCUCCUCUGACGUUAGCGGCGGACGGGUGAGUAACACGUGGAUAACCUACCUAUAAGACUGGGAUAACUUCGGGAAACCGGAGCUAAUACCGGAUAAUAUAUUGAACCGCAUGGUUCAAUAGUGAAAGACGGUUUUGCUGUCACUUAUAGACGGAUCCGCGCCGCAUUAGCUAGUUGGUAAGGUACCGGCUUACCAAGGCAACGAUGCGUAGCCGACCUGAGAGGGUGAUCGGCCACACUGGACCUGAGACACGGUCCAGACUCCUACGGGAGGCAGCAGUAGGGAAUCUUCCGCAAUGGGCGAAAGCCUGACGGAGCAACGCCGCGUGAGUGAUGAAGGUCUUCGGAUCGUAAAACUCUGUUAUUAGGGAAGAACAAAUGUGUAAGUAACUAUGCACGUCUUGACGGUACCUAAUCAGAAAGCCACGGCUAACUACGUG